RNAcentral lists this unclassified non-coding RNA (223 nucleotides) under uncultured Mycobacteriaceae bacterium. RNAcentral describes it as "contains 16S-23S intergenic spacer region". The record is from RNAcentral. Lineage: Bacteria; Bacillati; Actinomycetota; Actinomycetes; Mycobacteriales; Mycobacteriaceae.
UCCGAGUUGACCCCGGCAGUCUCUCACGAGUCCCCGCCAUAACGCGCUGGCAACAUGAGACAAGGGUUGCGCUCGUUGCGGGACUUAACCCAACAUCUCACGACACGAGCUGACGACAGCCAUGCACCACCUGCACACAGGCCACAAGGGAACCGACAUCUCUGCCGGCGUCCUGUGCAUGUCAAACCCAGGUAAGGUGGGGAUGACGUAAGAGAGUACGUCC